AAGCCCCACAAUCCAGCCAUCAACACCAUCCGUCACACAAAAUACAACCAACGUAGGGAGUAAAACAGAACGUCCACCUUAUGAAUGUCUGACGAACAUCUCAAACAACAAGGGAUUGAUUAGUUGACCAGCAUUUGUCCAGAAUGGUCUAGAUGCCACCCAGAGUUAUUUGAGAGUCAGGCAGUUUCCUAACGAAUUAAACAAACAAAGAAACAAAUAUAUUUCCAGAAUGAUCUAUUGGAGAGCUACAUAUAUAUUCUACUCCAGGAAAAGACCUUGACAAAUUCUGGUUUGUUGAGAAGGAAGCUGCGUGAACAUACAAAGUCACCAGGAGAUAAGGACUGGCCUGACGAGAGGGAAAAACAGUUGGUAUCAAUUCGGACGUCAUCUUCUUCCGGCUUCAUGUUUUCCUACUGCCACAAAAAUCUAAUUUUCUCCGAAUUGUUAUCAUCCAUCAAGCUCCUUUGCGCGAGAUACUCACUAAUAUGGUUCAUAACAACUUCGCGAUAAGGCUGUGCGUUAUUGCGCUUCCACAAUCUCUACCAGAUGGCUGGCAUCCUAAUUGCGCACCGCACAAAUAAAACGAGUGUGUGUGUAACAAUAUUAA
This is a long non-coding RNA of Pantherophis guttatus, 607 nucleotides long. RefSeq lists it as uncharacterized. NCBI's taxonomy places the organism in Eukaryota, Metazoa, Chordata, Lepidosauria, Squamata, Colubridae. The record is from RefSeq and is a predicted model, not a curated record.